Molecule: ribosomal RNA, 301 nt
Filed under: uncultured bacterium
Lineage: Bacteria
Description: partial 16S ribosomal RNA
Rfam family: Bacterial small subunit ribosomal RNA
Source: RNAcentral
CAGUAGCCACGGUAAAACGAAGGGUGCAAGCGUUACUCGGAAUUACUGGGCGUAAAGCGUGCGUAGGUGGUGGUUUAAGUCCGUUGUGAAAGCCCUGGGCUCAACCUGGGAAUUGCAGUGGAUACUGGAUCACUAGAGUGUGGUAGAGGAUAGUGGAAUUUCCGGUGUAGCAGUGAAAUGCGUAGAGAUCGGAAGGAACAUCUGUGGCGAAGGCGACUAUCUGGGCCAACACUGACACUGAGGCACGAAAGCGUGGGGAGCAAACAGGAUUAGAUACCCGAGUAGUCCCUGUCUCUUAUAC